CCUACGGGAGGCAGCAGUGAGGCAUAUUGGUCAAUGGACGAGAGUCUGAACCAGCCAAGUAGCGUGAAGGAUGACUGCCCUAUGGGUUGUAAACUUCUUUUAUAAAGGAAUAAAACGAGGCACGUGUGCCUUUUUGCAUGUACUUUAUGAAUACGGAUCGGCUAACGCCGUGCCAGCAGCCGCGGUAAUACGGAGGAUCCGAGCGUUAUCCGGAUUUAUUGGGUUUAAAGGGAGCGUAGAUGGGUUGUUAAGUCAGUUGUGAAAGUUUGCGGCUCAACCGUAAAAUUGCAAUUGAUACUGGCAGUCGUGAGUACAGUUGAGGUAGGCGGAAUUCGUGGUGUAGCGGUGAAAUGCUUAGAUAUCACGAAGAACUCCGAUUGCGAAGGCAGCUUACUAAACUGCCACUGACAUUGAUGCUCGAAAGUGUGGGUAUCAAACAGGAUUAGAUACCCGGGUAGUC
This 460-nucleotide ribosomal RNA is filed under the name uncultured bacterium. RNAcentral's name for it is "partial 16S ribosomal RNA". It matches the Rfam family "Bacterial small subunit ribosomal RNA", at positions 338 to 795 of the family's 1533-position model. The record is from RNAcentral.